Dreissena polymorpha is the source of this 1024-nucleotide long non-coding RNA. RefSeq lists it as uncharacterized. Lineage: Eukaryota; Metazoa; Mollusca; Bivalvia; Myida; Dreissenidae. The transcript is spliced from 2 exons. The record is from RefSeq and is a predicted model, not a curated record.
GCCACGUUCUGUGGCGUCUCAUCUGGAUCCAAACUGUUUGCAAAGGCCUUCAAAAUUCGGUUCCAGCACUGUAAGAGUUAAGAGGGAGUUUUGCAAGUCAGUCUGCUGUUUACUGCAGUUUGCUGUUGAGAACGAUAACCACGGCAUCUGCUGCAUCCGCGCAAAGUUGUCUUCUCACAGAAAUCCAUUACUUCAUGUUUAGGUGUAUCUACUUUCUAGCUAGUUUUCGUUGUGAUCACAGUUUGUUAUCAUUUCCUAGCUGAAACCCUAGAUUAAGUGUAUCUGGCAUUUGUUAGAAAAACAUUUUGCCCUGAACAAAGCCUGAAUCUGAAAUAACAGCGACAAUUUUGUGGAAACUUAGGGAACAUUUAUUUUAGUGAAUAAUUUUGUCGUACAUGUUGUAAAGAUGUUAACCUAAUUUUAUGAACUUCAAUUCACUAUUUAAUUUGAAAGAAGUUCUAUAUUAAUUAUAUUAAAACUAAGGUCAAAUGUAACGUAAUAUAAAAUAUAUACCUUCAAUUUAGUAUGUUUAUUAGAACAGAUGUAAUAAUAAGUUAACCGUAUUAACUAUGAUUAUUGUUUCCAUUUGCCUAAUGUAUAUAUAUUUGGAUAAAGCAAUUAUCAUUGUAUUAUUAUUGAUUCUAUUCUUUGAAUUAUUUUGACAUGUCUUUUUUUCUCUUUUGUUUUACCUAACUAUUCGUAUUCAUCGUUUUGUGUUGUACUUCUCAAAUACAUGUACCAUGUCUUUGCUUUCUCACAAACACAUACCGUGUAUAGGCUAUAAAUUUGCAAUAUGCUGUUUUAUGCCUAAUAAAUGUUAUGUUAUGUUAUGUUAUAUUGAAUUGUGUUCAUAGGGAAUGUUCUAUUUUCCAUAACAAUAUAAAACUCUGAGGUUUAAAAGACAUUAUGAUUUUAUGAACAGAGAUGUAUAUAAGGACAGGUCAUGUUAUUUUUUUCUUUCUUUCAUAUACCUUUUCGCAUAUGUAACGAUACAGUAGUUGAUGUAUCAUGUAUUUAUAAUUUU